UACGUAGGGUGCGAGCGUUGUCCGGAAUUAUUGGGCGUAAAGAGCUCGUAGGCGGUUUGUCGCGUCUGCCGUGAAAGUCCGGGGCUCAACUCCGGAUCUGCGGUGGGUACGGGCAGACUAGAGUGAUGUAGGGGAGACUGGAAUUCCUGGUGUAGCGGUGAAAUGCGCAGAUAUCAGGAGGAACACCGAUGGCGAAGGCAGGUCUCUGGGCAUUAACUGACGCUGAGGAGCGAAAGCGUGGGGAGCGAACAGG
Molecule: ribosomal RNA, 253 nt
Filed under: uncultured bacterium
Lineage: Bacteria
Description: partial 16S ribosomal RNA
Rfam family: Bacterial small subunit ribosomal RNA
Source: RNAcentral